GGUAGUAUGGCUGAUAAAAGCGGUAAUUUGUAAAAUUACAUAUAGGUAUUCCUUGCUGCCA
This 61-nucleotide transfer RNA is filed under the name Plagiopholis styani. RNAcentral describes it as "tRNA-Tyr". The record is from RNAcentral. Lineage: Eukaryota; Metazoa; Chordata; Lepidosauria; Squamata; Colubridae.